UUGAUGAGGACGCACCAGCCACACCUGGAACUGAGACACGGUCCGGACUCAAACGGGAGGCAGCAGUGGGGAAUAUUGGACAAUGGGGGAAACCCUGAUCCAGCGACGCCGUCGUGUGUGAAGAAGGCCUGCGGGUUGUCAAGCACUUUUAGUGGGGACAAACAAGCUACGGAUUAAUACUCUGUGGUCUUGAUUUAACCCAAAGAAAAAGCACCGGCUAAUCUCUGUGCCAGCAUGGCCGCUGGUAAUACAUGAGGGUGCGAGCGUUAAUCGGAAUUACUGGGCGUAAAGCGCACGUAGACGUUUGGUAAGUCAGAUGUGAAAUCCCCGGGCUCAACCUGGGAACUGCAUUUGAUACUGCCUGGCUAGAGUAUCGAAGAGG
This 382-nucleotide ribosomal RNA is filed under the name uncultured bacterium. Its description in RNAcentral is "bacterial SSU rRNA". It matches the Rfam family "Bacterial small subunit ribosomal RNA", at positions 292 to 657 of the family's 1533-position model. The record is from RNAcentral.